This 253-nucleotide ribosomal RNA is filed under the name uncultured bacterium. RNAcentral describes it as "partial 16S ribosomal RNA". It matches the Rfam family "Bacterial small subunit ribosomal RNA", at positions 524 to 776 of the family's 1533-position model. The record is from RNAcentral.
UACGGGGGGGGCAAGCGUUGUUCGGAAUUACUGGGCGUAAAGGGCUCGUAGGCGGCCAACUAAGUCAGACGUGAAAUCCCUCGGCUCAACCGGGGAACUGCGUCUGAUACUGGAUGGCUUGAAUCCGGAAGAGGGAUGCGGAAUUCCAGGUGUAGCGGUGAAAUGCGUAGAUAUCAUCAGGAACACCGGUGGCGAAAGCGGCUUACUGGGUCUCUUCUGACGCUGAGGAACGAAAGCUAGGGUAGCGAACGGG